This 78-nucleotide transfer RNA is filed under the name bacterium. RNAcentral's name for it is "tRNA-Pro". It matches the Rfam family "tRNA". Rfam says of the family: Transfer RNA (tRNA) molecules are approximately 80 nucleotides in length. Their secondary structure includes four short double-helical elements and three loops (D, anti-codon, and T loops). The record is from RNAcentral.
CGGGGAUUGGGAAAGUCUGGUUAAUCCGUCUGCUUUGGGAGCAGAAGAUCGCAAGUUCGAAUCUUGCAUCCCCGACCA